RNAcentral lists this transfer RNA (61 nucleotides) under Parabacteroides distasonis. RNAcentral describes it as "tRNA-OTHER". It matches the Rfam family "tRNA". Rfam says of the family: Transfer RNA (tRNA) molecules are approximately 80 nucleotides in length. Their secondary structure includes four short double-helical elements and three loops (D, anti-codon, and T loops). Further hydrogen bonds mediate the characteristic L-shaped molecular structure. tRNAs have two regions of fundamental functional importance: the anti-codon, which is responsible for specific mRNA codon recognition, and the 3' end, to which the tRNAs corresponding amino acid is attached (by aminoacyl-tRNA synthetases). tRNAs cope with the degeneracy of the genetic code in two manners: having more than one tRNA (with a specific anti-codon) for a particular amino acid; and 'wobble' base-pairing, i.e. permitting non-standard base-pairing at the 3rd anti-codon position. The record is from RNAcentral. RNAcentral also lists the same sequence under 2 other names. Lineage: Bacteria; Pseudomonadati; Bacteroidota; Bacteroidia; Bacteroidales; Tannerellaceae.
GCUCCCUUAGCUCAGUUGGUCAGAGCAUUUAGGGUCGCCGGUUCAAGCCCGGCAGGGAGCA